AAAUUGAACUCUCCCCAAGACAGCAUGUGUCAAGAGGCCAGGGCAAAUUAUAGCACUGCUUUUAGCAGCUCUGAAAGAAAAUUCAUGUACUCACAUUCAAAGACCGAUAUUUGAAAGGACUGUAUAUAGAUAUGCCACACAUAACCAGCGCAUGAAUGAGAUGGAGCAACAAUUUCAAGAAGCAGGACCUGAUUUUGGGAGCAUGCACUCUAGCUCUGAAUCAGUUCAAGAUAACUGGACACCUGCUGUGGAUGCUAUGGAAAAUAUUUUCAGAAUGGGAUCAGGUAUUGGGUUCGGAACACAAAAUGCUGAUCCACAGCUGGAACUAGCCCAAUGUUCAUGGCUCUUCCUAUCUGGAUUUUCUUUUCAACCCACUAGGGUGCAAAUUGCUCAGUUGCAGAAAAUUUCUGUGUUUGUGUGUGUUCCUUGAAGAGCAGGAGACCUGGUUCCACUACUUGAACCAUUUUAGUGGGUUUCUUUCAGACGUCUCAACAUUUGUUUCUUGCUGGCUGAGUCUCUGGGGAUGUAAGAAACAAAGACCGGCACGUUUUUCGCCUGUAGCACUGAGCUGAGCUGUGGCUUCUCUGGUUGCCAUAUGUCCCAACAAGCAAAUGCAUGUGCCAGCUCAUGCAGCGGCAUGCGCUAUGCUACUGGCUGAAUAAAAGCAUCACACAGGA
Molecule: long non-coding RNA, 677 nt
Filed under: Strigops habroptila (Kakapo)
Lineage: Eukaryota; Metazoa; Chordata; Aves; Psittaciformes; Psittacidae
Description: lncRNA (ENSSHBG00005003345.1)
Source: RNAcentral